AAUCAAGUGAAGCAGCUAUCACAGGGUCUGGAACAUAAAAUAAUCAUGAGGCCCAAAACACUUCCUGAAUGAAAGAGAACCUGCAUUGAAUUUUGUUCUGUGGUGAAUGGUACAUCCCAGCCUUCUUGCACAUAGAAACACUACACAGCACUUCAGCUGUAUGUUUGGGGGCCAUUUUAAACAGCAAAAUCAUCAACAGGAAGCAGAAAAUUGUAAAAAUUGUGGCACUAAAUAGACCAUGUAAAGGACACAUGUUUGCAAUAAGAAAGCUGAAACAAGAAGGGGGAGUGUCACCUUAUUUGAUCCAGCUAGAAACUCAGGUGCUGGUAUUCCAGCAACACUCAGGCGGCUGCUCCAGGAGGCUGCAGAGGGGUCCUUUUUAGCCGUCAACAAAACUGGCUAUGGUCACGCCCAUUGGGAAACUCAUUGCUGCCUUCAAGGUGGAAGUUAAAGUCAUCACAGUUCUUUCAUGAAAGGAGAAAACUUCUACAUAGAAGAUGAGAAGCUUCUUUGGGGCAGAGACUAUAGACUCAGAAGCUGUAGGAAUAUUCAGGCACAGACACCAGACCCAGCUUCAUCUCUAACUUGUGGCAAAGGACAGUACAUCCUGGGAUGGGACCCUAUGCUCCCCUAUGCCAUUUAGACAGAGCCUGGGGAGAGUGACUUCCCAGGGUAUCCAUGUUGGAAUCUCUCAUUUGAUUCUUAUUCAAAUUUAGGUUCUGUCAAUAGAAGAUACUAAAGAAAGAAAGCCAGGAGAAGAAAAGGGACUUCUUUCUUCAAGGUCUAAGCUGUUCUAAUAGCAUUAUUCUGGGAAUGGCAUCUUCCACUCCUCCUAGUACAAAGAACCUGCUUCCUCAUACCCCGUCAAGGAACUGCAGCAUCCAGGUGAUGGCCACAGUGGCAGAACCUAGGAAGCCAAGAAGAAACCAGAGAAUGGAGACACAUGGCAGCAAUGGCAAGUCAUCAGACCCAGGAUUUCCCAAAGAACACUGGUCCAGGAAGAUGCUCUGUGAAAAAGUGUUCCCUGGUCGGAGAAAUUUGUGAAACACUUUGCAUAAUACUUAAAAGAAUGUAUGGCACAUCAAAGGUAAUAUGCAAUAAAAGAAUUCAUUUUUUUAAAACCAAGCAUA
Molecule: long non-coding RNA, 1130 nt
Filed under: Homo sapiens (human)
Lineage: Eukaryota; Metazoa; Chordata; Mammalia; Primates; Hominidae
Description: long intergenic non-protein coding RNA 1905
Source: RNAcentral